Molecule: ribosomal RNA, 492 nt
Filed under: uncultured bacterium
Lineage: Bacteria
Description: partial 16S ribosomal RNA
Rfam family: Bacterial small subunit ribosomal RNA
Source: RNAcentral
AGUGAACGCUGGCGGUAGGCCUAACACAUGCAAGUCGAACGGCAGCACAGUAAGAUCUUGCUCUUACUGGUGGCGAGUGGCGGACGGGUGAGGAAUACAUCGGAAUCUACUUUUUCGUGGGGGAUAACGUAGGGAAACUUACGCUAAUACCUCAUACUACCUACGGGUGAAAGCGGGGGAUCUUCGGACCUUGCGCGAUUGAAUGAGCCGAUGUCGGAUUAGCUAGUUGGCGGGGUAAAGGCCCACCAAGGCGACGAUCCGUAGCUGGUCUGAGAGGAUGAUCAGCCACACUGGAACUGAGACACGGUCCAGACUCCUACGGGAGGCAGCAGUGGGGAAUAUUGGACAAUGGGCGAAAGCCUGAUCCAGCCAUACCGCGUGGGUGAAGAAGGCCUUCGGGUUGUAAAGCCCUGUUGUUGGGAAAGAAAAGCAGCAGGUUAAUACCCCGCUGUUCUGACGGUACCCAAAGAAUAAGCACCGGCUAACUUCGUG